GAUGAACGCUGGCGGCGUGCCUAACACAUGCAAGUCGAACGGGGAAGUUUAUUUCGGUAGAUUCCUUAGUGGCGCACGGGUGAGUAACGCGUGAACAAUCUGUCCAUCAGAGGGGGAGUAACACUUGGAAACAGGUGCUAAUACCGCAUAGGACCACGGGGUCACAUGAUCCUGAGGUGAAAGGAGCAAUCCGCUGAGGGAGGAGUUCGCGUCCCAUUAGGUAGAUGGCGGGGUAAAGGCCCACCAUGCCAGCGAUGGGUAGCCGAGCUGAGAGGCUGAACGGCCACACUGGAACUGAGAGACGGUCCAGACUCCUACGGGAGGCAGCAGUGGGGAAUAUUGGGCAAUGGGCGAAAGCCUGACCCAGCAAUGCCGCGUGAGGGAAGAAGUUUUCGGAUUGUAAACCUCUGUCGCAGGAGACGAAAGGAAUGACGGUAUUCUGUGAGGAAGCCCCGGCUAACUACGUG
Molecule: ribosomal RNA, 467 nt
Filed under: uncultured bacterium
Lineage: Bacteria
Description: bacterial SSU rRNA
Rfam family: Bacterial small subunit ribosomal RNA
Source: RNAcentral